Molecule: unclassified non-coding RNA, 3636 nt
Organism: Pogonomyrmex barbatus (red harvester ant)
Lineage: Eukaryota; Metazoa; Arthropoda; Insecta; Hymenoptera; Formicidae
Source: RefSeq, a predicted model, not a curated record
AUCGUGCUGGCGCGCUGCGAUCGGUGGAUGGGCGUCGCGUUUGGAACAACGGAAAGAGGAAGAGGACACUGUGCAAGUAGCGACGACGACGUGUGUCGACGUACGGGACGACGAAUGUCGAGGUAUCUCAGUCUGCGAAGGAGAUGCGCGUCCCAGGGGACCGCGGGGCAAUGAGUAACGACGAGUUGGCCGGAACGCGGGUCAUGAGUAGCACAAAAUGAGAAGGUCUUAUAACACUACGGUGGAGGCCCGAACAACGGACUGCCUCGAAGCCACGAGACGUCUGCAUAAGAGCGUGACGGAAAUCGUCAAGAAAUUGGAUGAGCAAAAGAAUCGUGCCUUGACGGUAAGCGACAUAUUUGUCCCAUCUGGGGAAAUUCAACGUAUGAAAUUAAAGGAUUAUUGUGAGAGGCUGAUACUGAAAGAUCCUGUUGGAAACGUACAUAAGAUAGAAGAAUUACUUUGGAGAAAAGCCUUUUACGAUGUUGUAUAUGCAGCCAAAAAAUUACGGAAGGGUAAUAUCUGGAAUGAUUUGGAAAAAAUGUUGCUAUCGGUCCAUUUGGAAGUGGGUGUGGGAUAUUAUCAUCAUCUGAUACUGAGACUACAAAUGGAAUAUGAUCUAGAUCUUGUUGGUGUUGUCGAUUUUGCGUUUAUUCAGAAUGAAAGUAUUUCAUCAUAUGCAAGAAUUAAAACCGGGCAAUCUAAAACUCAUACCAAGGAAGUCAAACAAUGCGUCGUGCGCUUGAUUCAUCGAAGUUUAGUAUGUCUUGGAGACCUGAGCAGGUACAAAUUAGAAAUAAAUUCAAACUGGGAUCCAAUGAUAGCAAACAGGUACUAUAAGAUGGCUAUAGCCAUUGAUCCAAAUAUUGGUAUGCCUCACAAUCAGUUAGGUACUAUAGCAGGCAAUAAAAAUUAUGGGCUGGAUGCAGUCUAUCAUUACAUGAGAAGCAUUUUGUGUCCUGAACCAUUCGAAGGAGCAGAAGGAAAUCUAAAAAAAAUCGUAAUAACUCAUUCUACUUAUACGGACGAAAGCAAUUCUGUCCAUCAUUGCGUAUCGCGAUUAUUUUCUUUAUUACGUUUAUGGGAUUUUGAAAAUCCACAUUCUGACAGAAUAAAUCAAGAAUGCCAGGAUCUCUUAACUGAUAUUGAGAAUUGUUUAGCAGCGGAACAAGUCGAGCCAAAUAAUACAAAUUGUCUAGAAAAUGUGGAUAAUAUAGAAAUAUAUCUUCAAAAUUGUAAAAACAGACCAACGCUUUACUUAACAGACGAUAUGAUAUUUAAGAUUGUGACAAUAUGCCUAAUGUCAAUUUCUAGAUUAAAGAACAAAGAAUCCAAUGAAGUACAGGGUGUUGUUGCUAUAACUUUAGCAAUACUGUCACAAUUGUUAGAAUUUAUAAUAAAGAAAUUACAAGAAACGAUUAUAGAUAUGGGAAUGCCUGAUGUAGAAGCAAUUGUGCAAGCAAAGGAUCAGGAGUCAUCUAAAUUGGAAAAUGGAGGUCAUAUAGAGGAAAAGGAUUCUAUUUCGAGCAAAGACAAUAAUAUACUCAAUUUAGAUGAGAAUAACAAAAAAUCAUCCGAUAAUGGAAUCGUGAAUAAACCAGGUCUCAAAAAGAUUCGCGACAAAUCGAAAAAUCUUCUCAAUAAGCUUCGUAGACGAAAAAGGAGAACUAGUUCCGAUUCGGAUGCGAGCGAUAUAGAUCAGUCAACAUUGGCAUCAUCUAGUGAUGAAAUCAACUCUGAUGUGUCCGAGACUGAGGAGGAUGAUGCACUGAGUGAAGGAAACGACGCAUUAUCGGACGAUAAUACGGAGGACGAGGAAUCAUCGCCAGAAAAUAAAAUCGAAUCUAGCGAAAACGCAGUGAAAAUAACGAAAGAAAAGAUGAAUGGUCAUAGUAGCGAUGUCACUGAGAAAUCUGAAAAUUGUGACAAGGAUAAUACAAGCCAUUUGGUUAACGGUCAACAGCACACCACCGAUCAGCAGACGGACUCGAAAACAAGUGAUAAGGAUUCCAUAACGAAUUCCAGCAGCGUCGUGACGAUGAACACAAAUUCAACUAACACUUUGGAGGAGGGUAAUGAUGGCAUGUGUAACGCGGAUAUCUCUUACAUGGCACAAUUGAAGAAGCGAAGUUUAAAGCCGGACGACAUUUUAAACAUGUUGAUCGGCAAGGAGAUUCUUGUUUCUAUCAAAGUAUGCUGUGAUUGGUUACGAAGUAAUCCUGACAUCAUAAGAAUAUGCGCCAAGAGUUCACGGACAUUACUGAAGCGUGUUACGAUUUUACUAAAUCUGAUUGACGUGGAUAUCGAAGCUGUUGUACAAGGACAUGAGGAUUCCACGAUUUUAUCGAGUGUGGAAAGAUUAAAAGAAUGCGUGAAGAUAAUACCUCUACCGGAGGAUAUUGACCUCCGAGGAUUGAACUUGCUGGAAAACGCACAUAAAUCUCUUGAUUGGCAAAUACUACGUAAACACAAAAUGAACAAGCGGGAAGAAACGUUGCUGAGGAUAUUGAAGUUACUUGAGUUUGGACAUCAUCUCUGUUCCGUCGAAGAUUCAAGAGUACGAUACAAUCGAAUCGAACGAUUGUUCGUCGUAACGGACGCGAAUCUCUCGAAUGCCCCUAAAGUAACAGGUCUGGAUGACAAAAACUUUGGGCCGGAGCAUUCGAAAGGAAAGCUUAUGAGACACAUGGGUAGAUUGUGGCUAAACGCUGAGGUUCGAGCUCUGGAAAGCCAGUUACGAUCUCGAUUGAUAUCGCCGUAUCUCGUCCCCGAUCAUGAAGCUUUAGCUAAGCAUACGCCGGCUCUUAAACGCUUGGUGUACGCAAAGAAGUUUAUAGUAGUGAUUCCCGCGGUUGUCGUUUCUGCUUUGGACGAGGUGAAACGCGUAAGCGCCCAGGCGAGAGAAGCUACACGGUGGUUGGAAAUUCAAUUGAGGCGCGGCUCAAGAUUCCUACGGGCGCAAAGACCUCACGAGCGUUUGGCGUUACCAUUAAUAAAAGGACCAAGACCAAAGGACAAAGAAGCAUGGUUGUUUUUCCAAAUAAUAGAAUGCUGUCACUACCUUACUCAGCAGGCAAAAGUGGGUUUUACCGGUGACGGGGAGGUACCGGUUGUGACCCUUCUGACUGGUUGUAAACCAGACGAUAGGAAAGCUCUGACUUUCAGUCCUGAUGGAUUAGCAAAAAGUGCAGGUGUUAAUCUUGAGCAUAUAGAAUCAUUUCAAAUAAAAUGGAAAUCGUCGUUUAAGAGUUACGGUUGAGCAAAAUACAUCACCCUUGCGUGAUUAUCUGUCGCUGAUCUCAUCCGGAGGUAUUGCUCAUCGUUCGGGUGCUACGUAAGCGGAUUCUCAGCCGACCAAAAGACAAGCCACGGCAUGAGGGUUGGAAACCCGCGCAUACGAAACGGAAAAUCGACAGAGUACUCUCGUACUGCCCAUAAAAAAUGUCAUUUUCCACCGCACACAGAAGAACUCUAACCCUCUAUUACCUGGCGAGAUGCGGCUAUUUGCAGACGUGAAUUAAUACGCUGCCGAAGAACAGAAAGCAUGAUUUAAUCGACGAUUACAAAUUUGAAAUAAAAAGAUUAUCUAAACUCGAGAUAACUUUGUAAACGUGAAAAAAAAUAUGUCUAAUCUUA